RNAcentral lists this ribosomal RNA (253 nucleotides) under uncultured bacterium. RNAcentral describes it as "partial 16S ribosomal RNA". It matches the Rfam family "Bacterial small subunit ribosomal RNA", at positions 524 to 776 of the family's 1533-position model. The record is from RNAcentral.
UACAGGGGGUGCAAACGUUGCUCGGAAUCAUUGGGCGUAAAGCGCACGUAGGCGGUUCGUUAUGUCGGAUGUGAAAGCCCUUGGCUUAACCGAGGAAGUGCAUCCGAAACUGGCGAGCUAGAGUACUAAAGAGGAUCGCGGAAUUCCCGGUGUAGAGGUGAAAUUCGUAGAUAUCGGGAGGAACACCAGUGGCGAAGGCGGCCAUCUGGAUCAACACUGACGCUGAGGCACGAAAGCGUGGGGAGCAAACAGG